UACGUAGGUCCCGAGCGUUGUCCGGAUUUAUUGGGCGUAAAGCGAGCGCAGGUGGUUUAUUAAGUCUGGUGUAAAAGGCAGUGGCUCAACCAUUGUAUGCAUUGGAAACUGGUAGACUUGAGUGCAGGAGAGGAGAGUGGAAUUCCAUGUGUAGCGGUGAAAUGCGUAGAUAUCUGGAGGAACACCGGUGGCGAAGGCGGCAUCCUGGACCGGCAUUGACGCUGAGGCGCGAAAGCCAGGGGAGCAAACGGG
RNAcentral lists this ribosomal RNA (252 nucleotides) under uncultured bacterium. RNAcentral's name for it is "partial 16S ribosomal RNA". It matches the Rfam family "Bacterial small subunit ribosomal RNA", at positions 524 to 776 of the family's 1533-position model. The record is from RNAcentral.